Clupea harengus (Atlantic herring) is the source of this 1588-nucleotide long non-coding RNA. The record is from Ensembl. NCBI's taxonomy places the organism in Eukaryota, Metazoa, Chordata, Actinopteri, Clupeiformes, Clupeidae.
UGAAAGACAACAAAGAGAUUUUAUUUAGAAAUUCACAGUUUCUAAUGGCACUACAUCGUUGUAGUUACAGUUGCUCCUGUUCCACAAUACUGUGCAGCUUGCUCCCUCUCAGCAAUUCGGUGUAUUUAUCAUGCCCCCUGCUGGCAUACAAUGAGCUUACGUCCAACAGGGGGCGCCACACAGGGAGAAAACCUUGGAAAGAAAAGCACUUGACGUACAAGGUAGUGUAGAAAAACAAACCAAACAAAAAAAGGCAUAAAGAGUACUUUAAAAGUGCACACUGGGCCCCCUGUCCAACCGAUGUGGGGCAAAUGUCUAUUCGUUCAGGUUAGGGGACAGGUGAUGUUCCAUGUGAUCGGCUCACUCACUCACAUACAUACAAACUGAGAAAAAGGAAACAAAUACAAGACACACGCACACGGUCAGUCUUACAUGCACAUUAACACCAAGUAGUUCAAACAUACUCAGUCGACACACUCAGAAAAGAAGUAUCACAACUGAAGAACAAGUUAAAAGUCCCCUCUGACUGUGGAAAUGCUCUCAUUCGCUCACAAAGGGGUACAUUCACAUCCUAUUCAUAUCUUUCCCUUUUAUCAGUAUACACGGGAAUUAUUAAUCUACGUUCUUUAUAUGAGAGGGUACCAUGAGCUUCAAAGAAAUGGGGGGGGGGGGGUGCGCAACUAGUACUGAAUCACAUGAUUGACAGCUCCAGCAUGAUCAAUGUCUUCUGCAGGGAAUCAGUGGUCAAAAUGGUUGUAUUCACAGUAAAAAAAAUCAACAGCCUUGUUUCGAAAAUGUGUUCUUGAGGGAAAUACGUUCACACACAUGUAGAUGAAAUGGGUUGAUAUCUGGAGUGCAUGAAAGGUUAAGAGUUUGCUGCAGAUAGGUAGGUGGGUUAGUCUGUGUUAGCGUUGCAGGGAAGUGAACGAGUGGAGAACACCUAGACGGUUGAAGAAAAAAAAAAGUAAAGAGAAAAGAAAAAGAAAGGGGUGCCCCAGUCCCGAUGCGUAGAGCUACUCAGAACAGUACCCAGAGACAGGAAAUGAAGAUAAACUAGCACUUAUUACAACGGCCCUCCAACUCCUCUCGCUCUCCGUAGGGCUUAAAGGGUCAGACCUCUUAAAAUCAAUGUCUGAGGUCUACCUGAUAUGAGCGAACACGUCACAAAGAAAAUAACUAUUCAUGAUUUCAUAGAAACAAGCAGCAGCGCUUUUUUGAUUUCAGCCAUGACCACAGAAUCCAACUCUUUCAGUACAAUGGAAGAAAAUAUAAAUACAAAUAAAUAGGUGGAACGACGUGUGAGAACGUGACACUGUAAACUAUGUGGUGUGUGUGUGUGUGUGUGUGUGUGUGUGUACAUUGACUUUGUAUGUUUGAGAGUACCAAAGAACUGAGUGUAUGAGGCAAGUGUGUAAACUUCAUAGACACUGCAGGGGAUGCGGCACUCUGCUUAGCCAAGACCUUUCAGAUCACCAAGCACAGGCAGGUCAAGACACAUUUAAAUAAAUAAAUAGAUAAAUAAAAGAGCUAGCCGAGUAUCCCCUGCAGGGUGUGUUAGCAAGUGUGUGUGUGUGUGUGUGUGUGUGUG